AGCGAACGCUGGCGGCAGGCUUAACACAUGCAAGUCGAGCGGGCGCAGCAAUGCGUCAGCGGCAGACGGGUGAGUAACGCGUGGGAACGUACCUUUUGGUUCGGAACAACACAGGGAAACUUGUGCUAAUACCGGAUAAGCCCUUACGGGGAAAGAUUUAUCGCCGAAAGAUCGGCCCGCGUCUGAUUAGCUAGUUGGUAGGGUAAUGGCCUACCAAGGCGACGAUCAGUAGCUGGUCUGAGAGGAUGAUCAGCCACAUUGGGACUGAGACACGGCCCAAACUCCUACGGGAGGCAGCAGUGGGGAAUAUUGGACAAUGGGCGCAAGCCUGAUCCAAGCCAUGCCGCGUGAGUGAUGAAGGCCCUAGGGUUGUAAAGCUCUUUUGUGCGGGAAGAUAAUGACGGUACCGCAAGAAUAAGCCCCGGCUAACUUCGUGCCAGCCGCCGCGGUAA
This 452-nucleotide ribosomal RNA is filed under the name uncultured bacterium. RNAcentral's name for it is "bacterial SSU rRNA". It matches the Rfam family "Bacterial small subunit ribosomal RNA", at positions 29 to 523 of the family's 1533-position model. The record is from RNAcentral.